UAAAAAUUAGGCUUAGUGGUGAGAGCGCUUGGACGGUGUCCAAGAGGCGCAGGUUCAAAUCCCGCUAUAUUAA
RNAcentral lists this transfer RNA (73 nucleotides) under Heliconius melpomene (postman butterfly). Its description in RNAcentral is "tRNA HMEL017253". It matches the Rfam family "tRNA". From Rfam's summary of the family: Transfer RNA (tRNA) molecules are approximately 80 nucleotides in length. Their secondary structure includes four short double-helical elements and three loops (D, anti-codon, and T loops). Lineage: Eukaryota; Metazoa; Arthropoda; Insecta; Lepidoptera; Nymphalidae. The record is from RNAcentral.